This 565-nucleotide ribosomal RNA is filed under the name Triticum aestivum (bread wheat). RNAcentral describes it as "partial small subunit ribosomal RNA". Lineage: Eukaryota; Viridiplantae; Streptophyta; Magnoliopsida; Poales; Poaceae. The record is from RNAcentral.
AAUGUUUGGCGGUACUGGUCUUGAAGGAGGUACUGGUACGAGCGGCAUAUAUUGGUCCCAGCGCAGGGGAGGGAGAGAAGUGGUUGGGCUCAUUCGUUCGUUCGUUUCGGUGUCUCGCACGCACGUUCUUUCGUAGCCGGUGGCCUCGACGACGUCCUUAGUAGGGGCAGAUGUUGGUUAGCUCAUACCUGUUCCACGACCGGAAGAGGUAGGACUCGCGCAGCGGCCGGCUGCAGCGGGGGCCGCGGCCGCGGUCGACCCGAGCCAAGAGAACCGUCCCCUCCUUCGACGCCCUGCUGCUUGUCCGGUCUCGUCCCGUUCUCCCCUUCGUCCCGCCAGGCGGCCGCCUCCGCCUCGUCGUCGGCCUGUUCCCCUCUAGCGUCAGCGGCGGCUGCAACGCCGGCGCCAAGCGCGGCCUCAAGCUGCCCUAGCUGACGAAGCUCUGGUAGCACACGGCGACUACUUUAUGUCUCGAUGACAUAUUUCUUUGGGUAAAGCGGCACUAAUAAACCUAUUCGAAACCAAAAAUUCCGAACUACUCUGCAGUACUGCCUCGUCUCUACAA